This 270-nucleotide ribosomal RNA is filed under the name uncultured archaeon. Its description in RNAcentral is "partial 16S ribosomal RNA". It matches the Rfam family "Archaeal small subunit ribosomal RNA", at positions 477 to 747 of the family's 1478-position model. The record is from RNAcentral.
CAGCACCUCAAGUGGUCAGGAUGAUUAUUGGGCCUAAAGCAUCCGUAGCCGGCUCUGUAAGUUUUCGGUUAAAUCUGUACGCUCAACGUACAGGCUGUCGGGAAUACUGCAGCGCUAGGGAGUGGGAGAGGUAGACGGUACUCGGUAGGAAGGGGUAAAAUCCUUUGAUCUAUUGAUGACCACCUGUGGCGAAGGCGGUCUACCAGAACACGUCCGACGGUGAGGGAUGAAAGCUGGGGGAGCAAACCGGAUUAGAUACCCGAGUAGUCC